CUUUGGUAAUUUAGCGUUUGU
RNAcentral lists this microRNA (21 nucleotides) under Tribolium castaneum (red flour beetle). Its description in RNAcentral is "tca-miR-9b-5p". Its record names the gene tca-miR-9b-5p. Lineage: Eukaryota; Metazoa; Arthropoda; Insecta; Coleoptera; Tenebrionidae. The record is from miRBase by way of RNAcentral.